RNAcentral lists this long non-coding RNA (4826 nucleotides) under Sus scrofa (pig). RNAcentral's name for it is "lncRNA (ENSSSCG00030001878.1)". The record is from RNAcentral. Lineage: Eukaryota; Metazoa; Chordata; Mammalia; Artiodactyla; Suidae.
UUUUUUUUUUUUUUUGGUUCCUUGUGGAACCCCUAUGAUGUGAAUGUUGCUGCAUUUAAUGUUGUCCCAUGGGUCUUGUACACUCUCUUCAAUUCUUUUCAUUCUUUUUUCCUUAUUUUUUUUCUGCCAUUCAGUGAUUGGCUCCACUCUGUCUUCCACCUCACUUAAUUGUUCUUCUGCCUCUGUUAACCUGCUAUUGGUUCCUUCUAGAGUAAUUUUCAUUUCAGAUAUUGUGCUAUUCAUCUCGCUCUUUAAAUCCUCUAGCUCUUUGCUAAAAUUUCUUUUGAGUUCUCCAUCUGUGUCUCCAUUCUUUUUCCAUGAUCUUGGAUCAUCUUUAUUAUCAUCACCCUGAAUUCUUUUCCAGGUAGAUUGCCUAUCUCUUCAUCAUUUAGUGGUUUUUGUGUGUUUCUGUCUUGUUCCUUUGUCUGAAAGCUACUUCUUGUCAUCUCAUAAUGUCUACUGUUUAUGUCCCCUUAACAGCCGGUGUGUAGCUGCAGUAGCAGAUGCCUGGUCCUGGAGUUCUUAGGGGUGGUAGCAGUUCACAUGUACCCAGAGCAUGUGUUGGGAGCAGCAUAAUCACAGUCCCUCUCCUGGUGCUGGGUGGCUGCUAGGGAUGGGGUCUGUGAGGCAGAUGGCAGUUAUUCAUAAUUCAUAGGACUGCUUUUGAAACACAAAGGGAUAGCAGUGUCUCCUGUAACCCCUCCUGUUACCAAGUAGCUUUCACUUGUUUUUCAAGGAAAGAAGGUAAAAACAUCAAAGCCAGAAAUUUAUACUUGGAGACAUGUUCAGAAAAGUUUAAAAAGUAGGAUAUAAAUACUGCCUUGCUUUUACCUAGUUCAGAGUUUAGCAUUUUAUUAGCAUCUUUCCUACAGUAAUUAUUCUACUCAGAGGUAGAAAUUAUGCUCAGUUAAGUGGCAUUGGCCCUACAUUCCAGUGAAUGCAUAAGAUUAGAAACACUGCAAACUUUCUAAAGACUUUGUUAAAAUCUAUAGACCACCACAAAAAAUCUUAUUGGUUUCAAAUAGCAUGGUUAAUCUGUAGGGAAACUGUAGUACCUGUAUACUGCUAGAUACUUGUGUUCUGUAGGGCCAGAAUACAAUAUUUGAUUUUAAUUUUAAAGAGAAUGUUAACUUUCAGAGCAUUAUAUGGGGCCUGUGUUUGUUGCUAAACAACUCGGCACAUGUUGCUUUGCAUUUCUGUGCAAGCCCCAUAUUAAUCACAGCCUGUUGUAAUCUAACUGCUGAUUGUUUUGAAGGAUAAGGAGAAAUGCAUCUGGUUUCCAGUGAAUCCCAUGCAUUCAAAUUGCUGUUAAAAUGACAGAAGUCGAGUCACAGCAGCUAAAAUGUGGCAGCUCCAUACCUGGGAACACUAAUGUGAAGGAGCAUUACCCCCGUAUGGAUGUAUUUGGUGGAGAAAUGUUUUUAACUUGUUAAGGAACACAAUUAAUUCAAAUUUGAGAAUGAGAAGUUAUAAUCAUUAAAGGCAAUUUCAUUUCUGAGCCACUUACAGAGACAGAAAAUAUGACAUAGCCUUCAUAAAACUGUAAAUUGCAUCUGAUUUGAACUUCAUUCGAAACUCCAGAGUGUGAGCAAACUCUGAGUUUCCUGUUAAAUAUAAAAGUUUAAAUGAGAAUUCAGAACCCAGGAGACGGCUGAUUGACAAUGCACAAUCUCACUGAAGCUUGAGUGGGUAUACACCAGCACAGUUAAUCAAAACUCCGUUCAGCUGCCAGCUCUUUAUGCAUUCGUCAGAGCCCAGCAGAGAGCUUUCCAGGCAGAAGAUUCACAUGUCAAGGCUUGAGCUUUGUUUUCCUUGACACUCCAAGAAGAUUAGUGCACGCCAGAUCUGUGCAGCCCAGGAACUGGGCAUUGACGGUGGAGAUCUGUGCCAUCAAGUGUCAUGGCCUCAUGUUCCAUCAGAAAUGGAAAGGCUGCCACCAAGGUUAUUGGUGUCAUAUGGUUUGAAGAGAAAUAUUUUGUUUCAAACAUGUGUCAAGAGAGAGAAAGAGGAUACUUCUUACACUCAUAGCAGGGUAUCAUCAGCCUUCACCACCCAACAACACCCACUGCUCCCCUGACACUUAUAUUCAUAGAGUAUAUAGGAAAGUAUGUGGGCGAGUGUGUUGGUUUUAUGAAAAUAAGAAAAAUCUUUUUGUUCCUACUCUGAUUAAAUCUGAAAUCUACUCUGAGUUAUACUUCAACCUAUAAAAACUGCCACACCUAGAUAUCCUUAAUAAUUUUGUCCAACACUUGAAAAUUCAUUACCUUCGAAGGUAAAUACACAUGACCUCAUCCAAAGUUUAAAGUUUUCAUUGAACAUAGAACUCAAAUGAGGUGUGUGUGGAUUCAAUUGUACAGGUAGUUGUACCCAGAAUCUACGUUGCCCUGGCUUUGUAACUUGCCUAUGAACAUGUACUGUGUGACUUAGCUGAUAAUAAACUUGCCAGGCUUUGUUUCAAACUAUGUGUCUUGUUAACACCUUACUGAGCUACAAAGAAUUGCCUUCUUAGUCUCAUUCCAAAUUGAUUUUCUCAGCAUCUAUUGUGGACAAGGAGCUUGCAAACUCCUGAAGAACUCAUAAAUGGAAGUGCUCAUCCUCUUUCUCCUUGGAUAAUAGAUAUCACAUUACCACUCUAAAGCACCGUUUCCAUGGCAGGAAAGAUAUUUGAGAAAAGAACCAGUGUGACAACCCUUAAAGUACCAGAGAUUGUGUUGUCCAGGACAGCUGAGAUAAGGCAAGUGCCAUUGAAACAUCUCCCCUUAUUUUAUCUCAUAGGAAAUACCACAAACCAGAAACACUUGUGAAAAUAUUUGUAGCAUCUCCUCAGGCUCUGAGCACUUCUUAUGUGAAAUUGUGCUGGUUGGGUCAUGCUCAGUCCUUUCAUAUUCAUUCCAUCUCUGCUGCCCAAUUCAUAGUAAUAAUGAUGCUUCAUUUGAAUAGUGUUGAUGGUUUUCAGUGGUUGGACUCGCUCUUUUUUUUUUUUUUUUCUUCUUCUUUUUUAGGACCACACCUGCAGCAUAUGGAAGUUCCCAGGCUAGGAGUUGAAUUGGGGCUUCAGCUGCUGGCCAUAAUCACAGGCAUAGCAACACCUGAUCCGAGCCGUGUCUGCUACCUACACCACAACUCAUGGCAGUGCCAGAUCCUUAACCCAAUGAGGAUUGAACCCACGUCCUCAUGGAUACUAGUUUGGUUCAUUACCACUGAACCACAACGGGAACUCUGUAGAAAGAUUAUUUUUGAUGCCUUCUUCUGCUGAUCUGUAUUGUCACUAUGGACAUACCCACAGGCCUUGUAAAGCCUUGCUGGCAGCAACCCCAGAGGACAGAGGACUCUAGGGGCACCUGAUGUCUUUGGGGGCUUGCUUAACUUUCAUCCUAAGAGAGGCUAAAAGGUGGGUCACUGAGGGCCUCUCCCUUCUCCCAGUCUGCCUUUCUCGAGGGCUGAAAACUAGCAAAGUAAACUGGAGAAAGCUGAGGGAGAUACCAAGAAAAAGAGGAAACAAUUGCUUUUCUUUGAAAAUAGUUAAAAUAGAAAUUGCCCUAAUUUUAACAAUGCAUGAAACUUUGUCAGCUACCAGGAGUGGAUGGAUUGCCUUCUGCUUCACAGGGAAAUAUUCAAUAUAAAUAACUUAAAUAACAUUCAAGUGAUAAAUUUUUUUUAAACGAUUCCAAAAUAGAGACUCAUGCAUUUGAGCCAUGCCUUAGAAAUGUGCCUACAAACCAUUGUUGGACUUGACCCUGGUGAAUCCACAGAGGGGAGGAAAUGUGUACCACAAGAAAGAAUAGAAUGUUUUAUUCAUGGAAUGACAUCAAGAGUAUUAAAUAUAUUAUUCUAAAUGAGCCUUAUUUUACUUUAGCAGAUGGUAAGUAAUUUAUCUAAGUUACGAGCAUAUUGUUAGAAAUUCAUCACGCAAAGUGUACUAUCAAUCAUAUUUUAACCUUUUCAUGUGUAAGGAAUGAAGGUAUUUCAUUCUAGACCCUUGAAUGUCCUACAAGGUAUCAUGUAUGUUAGCAAUUCCAUUUGGAAAGAAUUACCUUGAAAGAAAGAGUAAUUGUAAAAAGCACAGAGUUUAAAUGUAAAUGACCUCAUUGUGGUGUGUGAGGGAGGAAGUGAAAUAGUGAAUGAUAUGAGUGAUGGUGGAGUUCUAAACUGAGACUGUGGGGAAGCCAAUAAGAUUAUUUUUACCCUAUUCAAAAAUAUUUUCAAGUUAAAUUCUGAAUUGAAACCAUCAACAAACAACUAGCAUCACUGUUUUUGAUUGGGAAACAUUAGCAUUGUGGUUAAGAAAGUUGUUUUGAAGUCAAACUAGACUUCCUAAAUCAUUAUUUGGUUAGUCCUUAGAAUAAAUACCUCGUCUUUCAGAGUUAUUUUUACUUUAUUUUAAGAUAGCCUCUGGUUUUUUGACAGGUGGUGCUAAUAGUGAGGUUACUGUGGGCUUAUAGUGCAUACAUUACAUGUAUACCCUUACGUAUGUACAACUUUGUGGGUUGUGGGCUUUUGUAAUCCCCGUUUUAUAGUUUAGGGGUCAAAAUAUGUGCAAAAUAUGUGCAUUCAUGGGUGUGCAAAAUAUUCUUGAGAGAAACUGAAGACCCAAAUAAAUGGAACAAUUCAAUGUCUAUGGUUUGGAAGAUUUAAUAUAUUAAAAUGUCAAUUCUUCCUAAACUGGUACAAUGCAGUCCUAAUAAAAAUACCUGUAGAGGUUUUUUUUUUGAUAGAAAUUUUAAAAACUUAUCUAUCCUAAAACUUAUGUAGAAAAUCAAAGGACUUGUAAAAGUCUCAAUAAAUUUAAAAAACAAAACAUCAAUGUUGGAACUCUUGCAGUACUU